Molecule: ribosomal RNA, 1374 nt
Filed under: Triticum aestivum (bread wheat)
Lineage: Eukaryota; Viridiplantae; Streptophyta; Magnoliopsida; Poales; Poaceae
Description: partial small subunit ribosomal RNA
Source: RNAcentral
AUGGCGGCACCCCCUCUCCUCCUGCUCGCGGCCCUCCUGCUGCUGCUCCCGGCCGCCGCGCGGUCCGCGCCCGCCCGCGUCUUCUCCGUCGCGGACUACGGCGCGGCGGGCGACGGGUCGCGCUACGACACGGCGGCCAUCCAGGCGGCCGUCGACGCCUGCGCGGCGGCGGGGGGCGGCCGCGUGCUCCUCCCGGCGCCCGGGGACUACCUGACGGCGACCGUGCGCCUCCGCUCGCGCGUGGUGCUCGAGGUGGCCCCCGGCGCGCGGCUGCUGGGCGGGACCCGGCAGCGGGACUACCCGCCCGAGUUCCGCCGCUGGUACGUCGUGCUGGCCGAGAACACCACCGGCGCGGGCGUCACCGGCGGCGGCGAGAUCAACGGCCAGGGCGGCGCCUUCGUGGUCACGCCCAGCGCGCAGAAGAACGUCAUGGUCAGCUGGAACGCCACGGGGGACUGCCUGGGCGACGAGUGCCGCCCGCGGCUCGUCGGCUUCAUCGACUCCAAGGACGUCGCGGUCCAUGACAUCACCCUCAACCAGCCGGCCCUGUGGUGCCUGCAUCUUGUCAGGUGUGACAACUCGGUGAUCCGCAAUGUCUCUAUAUACGGGGAUUUCGACACUCCUAACAAUGACGGGAUUGACAUCGAAGAUUCAAACAACACGGUCAUCACCGAUUGCCACAUAGACACCGGAGAUGAUGCGAUCUGCCCAAAGUCUAGCACAGGGCCUGUUUACAACUUGACAGCAACAAAUUGCUGGAUCCGUACUAAAUCGUGCGCUAUCAAAUUUGGAAGUGCAAGCUUUUUCAACUUUGAGAAGCUGCUCUUUGACAACAUUACUAUAGUUGAUUCACAUCGAGGACUUGGAAUGCAGAUCCGUGAUGGAGGGAAUGUUAGUGAUGUGACAUUUUCAAACAUCAAAAUGCGGACUAGGUACUACCAUCCUUCAUGGUGGGGGAGAGCUGAACCGAUCUACAUCACUACCUGUCCAAGGCACCCUGAUUCCAAAGAAGGCACCAUUUCAGAUGUUCGUUUCAUCAACAUCUCAUCAGUAUCAGAAAACGGUGUUUUCCUGGCUGGAUCGAAGCACGGAUUGCUUCGCAACUUGAAGUUCAAGAAUGUUGAGCUGACCUACAAGAGGUGGACAAACUACACUGGGGGCCUGUAUGACUACAGACCUGGAUGCCGGAAGAUGGUGAAGCACAAGACUGGCGGUAUGAUGCUGGAGCACAUCUCAGGCCUGGAGGUUGACAAUGUCAGCAUGAGAUGGUGGAGAGGAAGCCUGGAAGGGUGGGAUGUUAACCCGCUCCUCUUCCGGCCAUCCACUAUUGACGGGCUGUCGUUCCACGAUUGGCAAUCGCUGGAUGUUCAAUAG